RNAcentral lists this ribosomal RNA (492 nucleotides) under uncultured bacterium. RNAcentral describes it as "partial 16S ribosomal RNA". It matches the Rfam family "Bacterial small subunit ribosomal RNA", at positions 29 to 507 of the family's 1533-position model. The record is from RNAcentral.
AGUGAACGCUGGCGGUAGGCCUAACACAUGCAAGUCGAACGGCAGCACAGUAAGAGCUUGCUCUUACGGGUGGCGAGUGGCGGACGGGUGAGGAAUACAUCGGAAUCUACUUUUUCGUGGGGGAUAACGUAGGGAAACUUACGCUAAUACCGCAUACGACCUACGGGUGAAAGCAGGGGAUCUUCGGACCUUGCGCGAUUGAAUGAGCCGAUGUCGGAUUAGCUAGUUGGCGGGGUAAAGGCCCACCAAGGCGACGAUCCGUAGCUGGUCUGAGAGGAUGAUCAGCCACACUGGAACUGAGACACGGUCCAGACUCCUACGGGAGGCGGCAGUGGGGAAUAUUGGACAAUGGGCGCAAGCCUGAUCCAGCCAUACCGCGUGGGUGAAGAAGGCCUUCGGGUUGUAAAGCCCUUUUGUUGGGAAAGAAAAGCAGCAGGUUAAUACCCCGCUGCUCUGACGGUACCCAAAGAAUAAGCACCGGCUAACUUCGUG